RNAcentral lists this ribosomal RNA (354 nucleotides) under Arthroderma olidum. Its description in RNAcentral is "eukaryotic LSU rRNA". It matches the Rfam family "Eukaryotic large subunit ribosomal RNA", at positions 294 to 666 of the family's 3401-position model. The record is from RNAcentral. Lineage: Eukaryota; Fungi; Ascomycota; Eurotiomycetes; Onygenales; Arthrodermataceae.
GGGUGGUAAUUUCAUCUAAAGCUAAAUAUUGGCCGGAGACCGAUAGCGCACAAGUAGAGUGAUCGAAAGGUUAAAAGCACCUUGAAAAGGGAGUUAAACAGCACGUGAAAUUGUUGAAAGGGAAGCGCUUGCGGCCAGACUCGGGCGCGAGGUUCAGCGGGUGCGUGUCACCCGUGCACUCCUCGCCGCCCGGGCCAGCAUCAGUUCUGACGGCCGGUCAAAGGCCCCCGGAAUGUGUCGUCUCUAGGGACGUCUUAUAGCCGGGGGUGCAAUGCGGCCCGCCGGGACUGAGGAACGCGCUUCGGCUCGGAUGCUGGCGUAAUGGCCGUAAGCGGCCCGUCUUGAAACACGGAC